Musca domestica (house fly) is the source of this 1242-nucleotide long non-coding RNA. RefSeq lists it as uncharacterized. The record is from RefSeq and is a predicted model, not a curated record. The transcript has 2 exons. NCBI's taxonomy places the organism in Eukaryota, Metazoa, Arthropoda, Insecta, Diptera, Muscidae.
GUUGUUGGCUGUGGGCCCCCUCUUUUGUUUUUGCUGUGCGAUUUUUUUUGUGUCUUUUUUUUUCCUCGUAACCGUUUCGUGUGUUUCUUUCACACACGAAAAAAAUACAAGAUUCAGUUUUAUUAAUUGUGAACGACGGCGGCGGGCACAUAAAAGUAUCGCGCCUAAAAAAACAAUAAUUUUUUUCGUAGUUCUUUUUUUGUGUGAUUUUUUGCAACUCUCAAGUGAAACCCAAAGAAAGCUGCUAAGAAAGUAUUUAUAAAAACCAUUGGUGGUUACAUGAAAGAAAAUCAUAAUUAAACAAGAAAAUUUGCCAAAAAAAAAAAAAGAAUUAUUGCCUGAGGUGUUUUGAGUGAAUGAAUGCUGUUGGGCUGUGCGCGGGCCAUAACCGGCCAGCCGUGUCGUAAUCUACGCAUUUGCGAAAAAAAAAUGUGCUGCUGUUGUUAGACAAAAAAGAUAUACAAUUCAACUAUGAUUUUUUGGUUUUUCAAUAGAGCUGUGUUGAAAGGCCUAAUUGUGCCCUCCUAUCCCCUCCAGUGGUGUAGAGUAUAAAAUAAAAAAAAAAAAAAACAAAAAUUAAAAUAAGGUGUUAAUGUGGAAUCUGUGGAGUUUGCAAAGAGGGCCUUGUGAAUACACUGAAAAUUGAUUUAAAAAUUCGCAACAACAUUAAAAAAAAAAAAAAAUAUUGAAAAUAUAAAAAAAACCAAAAUAUUUUUGUUGCUCUUCUCGAAAACUCUUUGUUUUCAAUUGUGAAUUUUUCACUUUUCCUUCGCUUUUUGUUCUGGAAAUUGCAUGCAAUUGUUUUUGUUCGUCAUCAUCCAACAUGCUGGUCAAUCGUGGUUCCAUUAAUGAAGGUAAGUGUUGUUGAAAACCCCCUCUUACUUUUAUCAAAAUAUUAAAUUCUGAUUUAAUACAACAAUGUGGCAAGGUAAUUUUAAUAAAAAUAAAUAUUUUUUUAUAUAUAUUUUUAUAUAAUAUAAAUUAUUUAAUUUCUUAAAAUGUAACUAGAAUACAUUUACUGUUCAAUUUACACAUCAUAUCAUUGAUGCAGAACGAUACUUCAAUAAUUUGUCCAAAAACAAAAAUUGAAAUUUUAAUGUGAAAAAUAGAAAAUAAUAGAUUACCUCAGUUGGUUUACUAAAGUCAGGUACAGAACAGAACUCCUUGGCUGUAGAAAUGUUUUAUUUUAUAUUUUUUAUAUAAAGUUAAGGCUUUCAUAAAACUCUUUCAUACAAAAAAUUC